Molecule: ribosomal RNA, 253 nt
Filed under: uncultured bacterium
Lineage: Bacteria
Description: partial 16S ribosomal RNA
Rfam family: Bacterial small subunit ribosomal RNA
Source: RNAcentral
UACGUAGGUGGCAAGCGUUGUCCGGAAUUAUUGGGCGUAAAGCGCGCGCAGGCGGUCCUUUAAGUCUGGUGUGAAAUCUCCCGGCUCAACUGGGAGGGUGCGCCGGAUACUGAGGGGCUAGAGUGUGGGAGAGGAAAGUGGAAUUCCUGGUGUAGCGGUGAAAUGCGUAGAUAUCAGGAGGAACACCGGUGGUGUAAACGGCUUUCUGGACCAUAACUGACGCUGAGGCACGAAAGCGUGGGUAGCAAACAGG